GCCGGAAUAGCUCAGUUGGUAGAG
This 24-nucleotide transfer RNA is filed under the name Encalypta procera. RNAcentral describes it as "partial tRNA-Phe". Lineage: Eukaryota; Viridiplantae; Streptophyta; Bryopsida; Encalyptales; Encalyptaceae. RNAcentral also lists the same sequence under 17 other names. The record is from RNAcentral.